GAAAAUGUGGAAUUUCUUAUAUAUCCAAACAAUAUAUGUCAGUAUAAAUAAUACAGUUUAAAUGCUAACAGUUGUGAUUACUUUCAAUAUAAAAACAUUAAAAUACACAAGAGGAAAUACAAAGGAUAGAGGUUAAACAUAGUGCUUUAAAACCACAGGUAUACCAAAUUAUUUUACAUCUUUCAAAACAUAAAUUAAUGGAAGUCACAGAUGUAGUGACUAUCAUUCAGGGGA
Molecule: long non-coding RNA, 234 nt
Filed under: Homo sapiens (human)
Lineage: Eukaryota; Metazoa; Chordata; Mammalia; Primates; Hominidae
Description: LHRI_LNC552.1
Source: RNAcentral